Oryzias latipes (Japanese medaka) is the source of this 1862-nucleotide long non-coding RNA. RefSeq lists it as uncharacterized. The record is from RefSeq and is a predicted model, not a curated record. NCBI's taxonomy places the organism in Eukaryota, Metazoa, Chordata, Actinopteri, Beloniformes, Adrianichthyidae.
GACACUUCACCAGUGCAGGUUGGUGACUGGGUGUUUGUGGAGGCCAUAAAAAGGAAGUGUUGGUCCAGCCCACGGGGGGAAGGGCCAUUCCAAGUCCUGCUGACUACACCAACAGCUGUAAAGAUUGCUGAAAGGACGUUUUGGAUCCACCUGUCACACUGCAAGAAAAAGCAUCUGGGUGAGGCUAAUUCCAACUGCUAGGUGGGGAAGUCUGACUACAAAGGGAGGCAGCCGUAUAGAAGCUGCUUGUCUCAACGUCAGCGAAGCCGAGCGAUCCACCUAGUCUUAGGGAAGAAAGCACACCAGAACUCUUUUGCACUACACGGAUCCUACACUGUUAGAGGACUUGAGGAGGUGAUGUGCUAGUAACCUCUCCCUCCCGAAGAUAGGAGCCACCACAAGGAUUUGGUUCUUUUGGAAUCAUUAUCCACCUGCAAGAAGAACCACCAACAAGGAAAAGAAACAUUUCUCGACGAUGGCUGAGCAUUGAUGAACAUGAUGUUUUGAAUAGUCCAAAAAUGAACAUAACUCACCUGUAUAUGACAAAUUCUUGGUAUAGGUAUGUUAUGUUACUGGCUAAAGAAAAGAAUAGAUCGGAUUGCUAUGUUUGUUCUGUAAUUGAAGCUUCAUCCCUACAUCCUAAUUUGCAGGCAAAGCAAUUUUCUGAGUGGAAGAGCGACUGUGUUAUUGAAUAUAGUACCAGAGGGUAUAUUAGUACUGGAGCCGUCACCAUUUCAAAUGGAACUCUUGUAAGACCGAGUUGUAAGAGUUUGUAUCAGUUUAAAAAACUGAAAUUGACAAAAUCAUUAGCUCCAUAUGUUAGUGUGGAACCAGGAACUGUGUUUCCAUAUUGCGUAACUAAAAAUGGCACAGAGUUUUUAGGAACUUUGCCGAUAAAGAUGUGUCAUGAACUUCUUGUUCCCUUCACAGUCCAGAUAAUCAAUGACAGAGUUUCCCAUGGUUAUGCUGUUCCCUGCCCCAGAGGAUGUUGUGUUGGAUCUAAUCCAGAUUUAAUUCCAGGUAACAAUGGUACUUAUGUGGUUCAUCAAAUGUUUUGGUUAUGUGGGCAGGCCCUCUACCUCAGUCUGCCUAGAGACUGGAGUGGGAUUUGUGUUUCUGUAAAGGUCACAGGUCACACUUUCAUAGUUUCUGCAGUCCAUGAGCCUCACCUGAGCCACAGACGUAACCUUAUUGAUGUCAAGCCACAUGAUUCCAUUUGGGGAUCACAUGUUCCUGAAGACCAUAAACACUGGAAUACUGGGGAAAAGGUAACUAUGGCAUUGUUUCCCUAGGUUGGAAAUGCUAAAAACACUUUCAGAAUUGAGACCAUUGAUUAUAGAUUAGGUUUAUUUUUGAACGCUACAAUUAAAGCAUUUAAAGGCUAUAGUGAAGAAAUGUCAAGCAUGAGACUUAUGGUUCUACAGAACAGAUUGGUUUUGGACUUAUUGGUUGCUCAGGAGGGAGGUGUUUGUAAAAUGUUAAAUUAUACCUGUUGUACAUUUAUUCCUGACAACAUCGAUGAAGGUCACAGCAUCACCGAAGCAUUACAUCAACUUGAAAAGGUUCAGCAGGCAAUUCAGAAUGACAGGAAACCCCAAUCUUGGGAUUUCUUCUCCUGGUUUUGCUUUUGGUUCCUGGUGGCAACUUUUGUUAAAAAUAGUGACACCUAUUCUUAUGGUACUGAUCACAUGUUGUGUGUUCACUAUGUGCAUUUUUCCUUGUAUUCAAUCUAUGAUUUCCAGAGCAGUGAAUGGUUGAGUACAAAGUGUUCUUAUGAGUCAAGAAUACAACUUGUUUUUAAAGGGAGAACAAGAUGACUGUAAUGAUUUUGAAACUGAAAUGACUUGAAAAAAAAAAAAAAA